This 207-nucleotide ribosomal RNA is filed under the name uncultured bacterium. RNAcentral's name for it is "partial 16S ribosomal RNA". It matches the Rfam family "Bacterial small subunit ribosomal RNA", at positions 568 to 774 of the family's 1533-position model. The record is from RNAcentral.
AGCGCAGGCGGACUUGUGUGUCGGACGUGAAAUACCGGGGCUUAACCCCGGUGCUGCGUCCGAAACUACGAGUCUAGAGACUUGGAGGGGUAAGCGGAAUUCUUGGUGGAGCAGUGAAAUGCGUAGAUAUCAAGAGGAACACCAACGGCGAAGGCAGCUUACUGGACAAGAUCUGACGCUCAGGCUCGAAAGCGUGGGGAGCAAAAG